CACGUAGGGGGCGAGCGUUGUCCGGAUUUAUUGGGCGUAAAGAGCGUGUAGGCGGCCAGGUAGGUCUGCUGUGAAAACUCGAGGCUUAACCUCGAGCUGUCGGCGGAAACCAUCUGGCUAGAGUCCGGAAGAGGAGAAUGGAAUUCCCGGUGUAGCGGUGAAAUGCGCAGAUAUCGGGAAGAACACCCGUGGCGAAGGCGGUUCUCUGGGACGGUACUGACGCUGAGACGCGAAAGCGUGGGGAGCGAACAGG
This 253-nucleotide ribosomal RNA is filed under the name uncultured bacterium. RNAcentral describes it as "partial 16S ribosomal RNA". It matches the Rfam family "Bacterial small subunit ribosomal RNA", at positions 524 to 776 of the family's 1533-position model. The record is from RNAcentral.